UCCACAGUGGGUGAGAUGGAUGGCCCCAGGC
This 31-nucleotide non-coding RNA is filed under the name Homo sapiens (human). Lineage: Eukaryota; Metazoa; Chordata; Mammalia; Primates; Hominidae. The record is from RNAcentral.